UACGUAGGGGGCGAGCGUUGUCCGGAAUUACUGGGCGUAAAGGGCUCGUAGGCGGCCAACUAAGUCGGAUGUGAAAUCCCCAAGCUUAACUUGGGAACUGCAUCCGAUACUGGAUGGCUUGAAUCCGGGAGAGGGAUGCAGAAUUCCAGGUGUAGCGGUGAAAUGCGUAGAUAUCUGGAGGAAUACCGGUGGCGAAGGCGGCAUCCUGGACCGGCAUUGACGCUGAGGUGCGAAAGCGUGGGGAGCAAACAGG
This 253-nucleotide ribosomal RNA is filed under the name uncultured bacterium. RNAcentral's name for it is "partial 16S ribosomal RNA". It matches the Rfam family "Bacterial small subunit ribosomal RNA", at positions 524 to 776 of the family's 1533-position model. The record is from RNAcentral.